This 492-nucleotide ribosomal RNA is filed under the name uncultured bacterium. Its description in RNAcentral is "partial 16S ribosomal RNA". It matches the Rfam family "Bacterial small subunit ribosomal RNA", at positions 29 to 507 of the family's 1533-position model. The record is from RNAcentral.
AGUGAACGCUGGCGGUAGGCCUAACGCAUGCAAGUCGAACGGCAGCACAGUAAGAGCUUGCUCUUACGGGUGGCGAGUGGCGGACGGGUGAGGAAUACAUCGGAAUCUACUUUUUCGUGGGGGAUAACGUAGGGAAACUUACGCUAAUACCGCAUACGACCUACGGGUGAAAGCAGGGGAUCUUCGGACCUUGCGCGAUUGAAUGAGCCGAUGUCGGAUUAGCUAGUUGGCGGGGUAAAGGCCCACCAAGGCGACGAUCCGUAGCUGGUCUGAGAGGAUGAUCAGCCACACUGGAACUGAGACACGGUCCAGACUCCUACGGGAGGCAGCAGUGGGGAAUAUUGGACAAUGGGCGCAAGCCUGAUCCAGCCAUACCGCGUGGGUGAAGAAGGCCUUCGGGUUGUAAAGCCCUUUUGUAGGGAAAGAAAAGCAGCAGGUUAAUACCCCGCUGUUCUGACGGUACCCAAAGAAUAAGCACCGGCUAACUUCGUG